CGCCGCCCCCGCAGGCCGCCGCAGCAGAAGCAAGCCUCCUCCGAUUCGCUCGCCCUCCGUCGAGACCAUGGCGACCUCCCCCGCUCUCCUCUUCCCUUCGACCUCUUCAUCCUCCUCCCCGUCCUCGGCGCGGGUCGAGGCGGUGGUGCUCUUCAACAUCUGCGACAGCUACGUGCGCCGCCCCGACCAGGCGGAUCGCGUCAUCGGCACCCUCCUCGGAUCCCUCCUCCCCGAUGGCACCGUCCAUGUCCGCAACUCCUACGUCGUGCCGCACAGCGAGUCCGCCGACCAGGUCGC
RNAcentral lists this long non-coding RNA (297 nucleotides) under Setaria italica (foxtail millet). Its description in RNAcentral is "long non-coding RNA (SITA_LNC001847)". The record is from RNAcentral. Lineage: Eukaryota; Viridiplantae; Streptophyta; Magnoliopsida; Poales; Poaceae.